AUUCCAGCUCCAAUGGCGUAUAUUAAAGUUGUUGCAGUUAAAAAGCUCGUAGUUGGAUUUCUGGCAGGAGCGACCGGUCGGCCCAUUGUGGUGUGUACUAGUGUUGCAUCUGGCCAUAUUUGUGGAGAGCGUGUGUGGCAUUAAUUUGUCGUGCUCGGGACCCGCAUCGUUUACUGUGAGAAAAUUAGAGUGUUCAAAGCAGGCUUAUGCCUUGGAUAUGUUAGCAUGGAAUAAUAAGAUAAGACUUUGGCGGUCUAUUUUGUUGGUUUGCACGCCAUUGUAAUGAUUGAUAGGGACAGUUGGGGGUAUUCAUAUUUAAUUGUCAGAGGUGAAAUUCUUGGAUUUAUGAAAGAUGAACUACUGCGAAAGCAUUUACCAAGGAUGUUUUCAUCA
Molecule: ribosomal RNA, 393 nt
Filed under: Stramenopiles sp. MAST-2D
Lineage: Eukaryota
Description: partial small subunit ribosomal RNA
Rfam family: Eukaryotic small subunit ribosomal RNA
Source: RNAcentral